This 225-nucleotide unclassified non-coding RNA is filed under the name Hevea brasiliensis (rubber tree). The record is from RNAcentral. Lineage: Eukaryota; Viridiplantae; Streptophyta; Magnoliopsida; Malpighiales; Euphorbiaceae.
GCAGAAGAGGAAGAAGAAGAAGAACCUCGAGAUAGAUCCGAAUUUCGCGAAUUGGAAGAUGGGAAGAGCUUGGAUGAUGCCAUAUUGAUCGACAAAAUAGGCAAGGAAUUCGCAGAGAUUCUCUCGAAACUGGAGUGGGAAUCUUUAUAGUGAUACAAAAGAAUUUGUAUGAGAGCGGCGAGGUUUUGUGGUUUUCUUCCGUUGGUGGGUGAGAACUGGGAGUUG